UUUUUUUUGGUACUGGGGAUUGAACUCGGGACCUUGCACUUGCGAGGCUGGCAGCAGAACCACUGAGCUAAAUCCCCAGCCCUGGUUCUUCAUGUUAACAGGGAGCAAGUGAGUUACAGGUAGCCCUUUUCCUUCUGGCCCAAGCUGUGUCUUUGAACGACUUGCUGAAAGGUAAAUGGGUUUGUUCAACACUAUCUGGUUAUCUUUUCAUUACCAAAGUCUGCCUGGUGGUCUGUCCUGGGGAGUCAGGCCUCCCCUAUACCCUUGGGUAGAAGCCCUAGGAAACUGCACUGAGGUUCCUUGGUCACUCGUGCAGGCCUUCCCUUGAGAAAUGCUAGGAAAGAAUGGUUUCCUGGGCUUUUAAUAGCUUGGUGAUUAGUUUAUACUUCUUAAAAUCAAAGAUGCAUAUGCUAUAGUUUGUGUAGCAUGGCUGUCUAAAAAGAAAUGCACAGCGAUAACAUAUUUGCAUGUUGCUGCCUUCUUUUUUGGGGGGGGGGUCGGUCAGGGUUUCACUGUGUAGCCCAGGCUGGUCUUGAACUCACUAUGGACCCUAGGCUGGCCUCUUCUAACUUGCAGUGAUCCUCCUGCCUCAGCCUCCCGAGUGCUGGGACCACAAGUGUGAGCCACCACGCUUUGCCUGUUGCCUUAUUUUCAAAUAAAGGUAAAAGGUCAAUUCUCUAGAAAUGAAAUGAACCUUAGUAAAGUACACAGCAUGUGACAUUCUCCUGUAAUCCCAGCUUAGUUUACAAGGAAAUAGAAUAAGAAUUAGAAGAUUUAGGACUAAUCUCGCUCUGAACUCAAAAUUGUGCAAGUGUGAGGUAAUAAUUCAGCACACUUUUAGGAAUCCUACUUUACAAUGACACUGGAAGUUGUUCGUUACCAAUAACCCUUAUCUUCCUGUCCGGCCCCCCUCUAGUGUUGCUGUGAGAGGCAAGGCUAUCUCCUGCUGCCUCCUGAGUGCUGGGAUGAUAGGCUGCCACACCAGAUGUCAUCAAAUUUUAUUUUAUUUAUUUAUUUACUUAUUUAUUUUGAGACUAGGUCUUGCUCUGUUCUGUAAUUCAGGCUGGCCUUGAACUCACUAUGGAGCCCAGGCUGGCCUUGAACACCGGGCAAUCCUCCUGCUUCAGCCUCUUGAGUGCUGGGCUCCCAGGCCUGCGCCACCACACCCAGCAUGUCAUCAAAUUUUACAUGUGGAUUUUUUUUUAAAUGAAAGGGAUAUUACAGCUAGGCAUGGUGGCGCAUGCCUGUAAUCCCAACACUUAGGAGGCUGAGGCAGAAGGAUCACUGUGAAUUCGAGGCCAGCCUGGGUUACAUGUUGAGUUCAAGGCCAGGUGGAAUUACAAAGCAUGACCCUGUCUCAAAAAAAAGGGGGGGGAUAUAUUACAGAUGAUCUAACUCAUUUUUUUUUUAUAAAAAGAAAACUAAAAGUUGCUAGAAACUGAGAUGAAACUCAGAUCUCCUGACACACACACUUCGGUACUUUUUCCGGCCUGUCCCAGGGCCGCAGUGUGAGCAUGUGCACCCCUGCGCUCGCUCGUGCAUGUGGAUAUGCGUGGGCGCGCAUGUGUGUUUAUAUUGGGCUCAGCACCCUCUUAAGUCCCUCAGCUGAGUAGCAAAAACUCAUACAUUUUUGACAUCUAGAUUUCUGACUUAGAAAUUCAAUGUACUGUUACGGAUAUUUAAUUAGCAUCUACCACAUAAACUGUGCCAUAUUUUAUUCCUGGGAUUACAGAUCGGAGAACAUUCAGAAAAGCCAAUUCGUGCCUUUCUUUAGAGAAUUCUUUAAAAGUACAGAUAAGGUUGACAGAAUUAUGAUUCAUCUAUUUUUAGUUAAGACAUUUUCAUCUCAGUCAAGUCUAAUAUGCUCCCCUAAUUAUAGUGAUAUAUUUUCUAAAUUACAAAUCCAGACACAUGGAUCAACACAUGGCCCUGUAAGUCUGUGUGUUUGGUACAGAAACAUUAUUUGGCUAAUGGAAAGAAAUUAUGCUUCGGGGCACACGAAAAAUGUAGCGUUUCUCUUGCUAAGCCAUUCCCAAAAUAUCGUACCUAGUUUCUUGCCAUUUCUGCGCUUAAUUAAUUAUAAAAUUUAAAAUAAUUCAUGUUUAUUACAAAUAGAAUGUUCAUUAUAGAACACCAAAACCUCAGUACAAAUAAUUUAUAAAAUAUUUCGAUGCAAAUGAAGGGAUCUUUUCAUUUAAAAUGCUCAUAUUUUCACAAUUCAAUCCUACUUUCUGUCUGCAACUAAAAAAAAAAAAAGAGAAACCCAAGUACUAAAAAUAAACCGGAAUUUAAAGUCACUGAGUAAAACUCCUAUGUUCUUUAAAAAAAAAAAGACUGCCCGAGCAUUACGAAUCUGUACAAUAAACACGAAAUCGGUCACUUGACCAUGCCCACCCUCAGCCCCUCCACGGAUCCAUGCCCCCUACCCUCUCCCACACUUUUUUAGAAAUAUCCUUUCUGAAUGUAGUUUUCUUUAGCAGGGAAGGCGACAGGGCCCGGGUCUCAGGACUCGAGACUCGGUCGGGGCAAGGAGGCGACCUCCUGAUUUUGCGUCCUCGGGGCUGAGGCGAGAUCUACAAGGCCUGCCCUGACCCCCACCGCGC
This 2603-nucleotide long non-coding RNA is filed under the name Heterocephalus glaber (naked mole-rat). Its description in RNAcentral is "lncRNA (ENSHGLG00100043072.1)". The record is from RNAcentral. Lineage: Eukaryota; Metazoa; Chordata; Mammalia; Rodentia; Bathyergidae.